RNAcentral lists this ribosomal RNA (773 nucleotides) under Acarospora pseudofuscata. Its description in RNAcentral is "partial large subunit ribosomal RNA". It matches the Rfam family "Eukaryotic large subunit ribosomal RNA", at positions 317 to 1415 of the family's 3401-position model. The record is from RNAcentral. Lineage: Eukaryota; Fungi; Ascomycota; Lecanoromycetes; Acarosporales; Acarosporaceae.
UAAAUAUUGGCCAGAGACCGAUAGCGCACAAGUAGAGUGAUCGAAAGAUGAAAAGCACUUUGGAAAGAGAGUCAAACAGUACGUGAAAUUGUUGAAAGGGAAGCGCUUGCAACCAGACUUGCCCGCGGGUGAUCAACCGGUAUUCUUACCGGUGCACUCGCCCGUGGUCAGGCCAGCAUCGGUUCGGGCGGCCGGAUAAAGUCCCCUGGAAUGUGGCUCCCCUCGGGGAGUGUUAUAGCCAGGGGUGCAAUGCGGCCCGCCCGGACCGAGGACCGCGCUUCGGCUAGGAUGCUGGCGUAAUGGUUGUAAGCGACCCGUCUUGAAACACGGACCAAGGAGUCUAACAUCUAUGCGAGUGUUUGGGUGUCAAACCCAUGCGCGUAAUGAAAGUGAACGGAGGUGGGAACCCUUAAGGGUGCACCAUCGACCGAUCCUGAUGUCUUCGGAUGGAUUUGAGUAAGAGCAUAGCUGUUGGGACCCGAAAGAUGGUGAACUAUGCCUGAAUAGGGUGAAGCCAGAGGAAACUCUGGUGGAGGCUCGCAGCGGUUCUGACGUGCAAAUCGAUCGUCAAAUUUGGGUAUAGGGGCGAAAGACUAAUCGAACCAUCUGCUACUAGAUGGCACACGGGCCUAAGGGCCCCAGUAAUCCCUGCGGGGGUGACAUCGUCGGUCUUCCGGGAACGCCUCUGGGCUACCCGCAGUGAGCCGUGGGCUCAUUCACAGACUAAGUGGCGGUGGCCGCGUCCCGUGACGCGGUUAGGAUAUAGCCGAUUC